This 326-nucleotide long non-coding RNA is filed under the name Elaeis guineensis (African oil palm). RNAcentral describes it as "long non-coding RNA (EGUI_LNC079144)". The record is from RNAcentral. Lineage: Eukaryota; Viridiplantae; Streptophyta; Magnoliopsida; Arecales; Arecaceae.
GGUCAAACAGAUUUGUGCUUCAUUAAUAUUUAGUAAAUUAAUAUUUGAAGGCUCAAGUAUAUUAUGAACGAAAUGCCAUACCAUAUAGAUGAAUGCUAAAUGUAAAUAUAAUUUCUUAAAUCACCACAUCCUCGAUUUGGCAUGUUAGAUCCCUCCUUCAUGAAUGGGCUUGGAGGAGGAAGAGGAUGAGAAGGAGAGGAAGGGAGAAGAGCCACCGAUAAGAAAUUAGUUGGAGGAGGAGGACAAGAAGCAAAAAAGGGUGGGAAGGAAGGGGAGGGAGAAGAAUGGGCUACCAACGAGAAGGGAUGGAGGUGGAAGGUGCAGCC